GUACCGUUGGCAGAGUAGUUAUGCAACAGAUUGCAAACCUGUUUUAGAUAGGUGCAAAUCCUAUACGGUACUCCA
RNAcentral lists this transfer RNA (75 nucleotides) under Moraxella bovis. RNAcentral's name for it is "tRNA-Cys". It matches the Rfam family "tRNA". Rfam says of the family: Transfer RNA (tRNA) molecules are approximately 80 nucleotides in length. RNAcentral also lists the same sequence under 1 other name. Lineage: Bacteria; Pseudomonadati; Pseudomonadota; Gammaproteobacteria; Moraxellales; Moraxellaceae. The record is from RNAcentral.